UCCAAUUUAAACACCACUUUACGCUAAACACCCAUGAUGCAGAAUGAAUUAGCAGCCCUGCUCAUGCCUUUGAACAAACUUUGGUGCUCUUUUGUUUGCUUACAGCUGAUUAAUACAUAACCAGUCACAACAGGUGAAUCAUACCACACCUCCGUUAAAGCAUACACACAGAUCUCCAACCGCAAGACCGAGCUCUCAUCGAUCAGAGAAAAAGAAAAGGAAACAGUAAAUGUGGAAACAAGAUGAUGUAUCUUAUAGUGCAGAAAAGCUCGAGACAGGAAAGACCCCAAUUACGCUGAACAAAGACACAUGGUCUUAUUGGGGGCUAGCUAGGCCGCCAGAAUCCAUCGUCCGUGAUGGAUUAAACACCAAUGG
Molecule: long non-coding RNA, 375 nt
Filed under: Brachypodium distachyon (stiff brome)
Lineage: Eukaryota; Viridiplantae; Streptophyta; Magnoliopsida; Poales; Poaceae
Description: long non-coding RNA (BDIS_LNC000308)
Source: RNAcentral